This 217-nucleotide ribosomal RNA is filed under the name Clostridioides difficile. RNAcentral describes it as "partial 16S ribosomal RNA". It matches the Rfam family "Bacterial small subunit ribosomal RNA", at positions 607 to 824 of the family's 1533-position model. Lineage: Bacteria; Bacillati; Bacillota; Clostridia; Peptostreptococcales; Peptostreptococcaceae. The record is from RNAcentral.
GCUCAACCGUAGUAAGCUCUUGAAACUGGGAGACUUGAGUGCAGGAGAGGAGAGUGGAAUUCCUAGUGUAGCGGUGAAAUGCGUAGAUAUUAGGAGGAACACCAGUUGCGAAGGCGGCUCUCUGGACUGUAACUGACGCUGAGGCACGAAAGCGUGGGGAGCAAACAGGAUUAGAUACCCUGGUAGUCCACGCUGUAAACGAUGAGUACUAGGGGUC